This 433-nucleotide ribosomal RNA is filed under the name uncultured bacterium. RNAcentral describes it as "partial 16S ribosomal RNA". It matches the Rfam family "Bacterial small subunit ribosomal RNA", at positions 29 to 507 of the family's 1533-position model. The record is from RNAcentral.
AACGAACGCUGGCGGCAUGCCUAACACAUGCAAGUCGAACGAAGGCUUCGGCCUUAGUGGCGCACGGGUGCGUAACGCGUGGGAAUCUGCCCUUUGGUUCGGAAUAACAGCUGGAAACGGCUGCUAAUACCGGAUGAUGACGAAAGUCCAAAGAUUUAUCGCCAGAGGAUGAGCCCGCGUUGGAUUAGGUAGUUGGUGGGGUAAAGGCCUACCAAGCCGACGAUCCAUAGCUGGUCUGAGAGGAUGAUCAGCCACACUGGGACUGAGACACGGCCCAGACUCCUACGGGAGGCAGCAGUAGGGAAUAGUGGACGAUGGGCGCAAGCCUGAUCCAGCAAUGCCGCGUGAGUGAUGAAGGCCUUAGGGUUGUAAAGCUCUUUUACCCGGGAAGAUAAUGACUGUACCGGGAGAAUAAGCCCCGGCUAACUCCGUG